Long non-coding RNA from Leopardus geoffroyi (Geoffroy's cat), 471 nucleotides. RefSeq lists it as uncharacterized. The record is from RefSeq and is a predicted model, not a curated record. Lineage: Eukaryota; Metazoa; Chordata; Mammalia; Carnivora; Felidae. The transcript is spliced from 2 exons.
CUUCUCAACCAGACGCCUGAGUUACAGUUAAUGUCACCAAUGUUAACCCUAGAAGGCACCUUGACAGCCAUCUCUCCAUCUCUCCUGCCCUCAUUUACUGAUGAGCAGAAAAACCAUGGCGAUAACAAAGGACAUUAUUGGAUAACACUCUGGGGUCCAGACCCCAGGAAGUUUAUACUGCAAAUGAGCUGCUCAGUACCUCCCCCACGGCCAGUGCUGUCUACUUCCCAUCCUUUGAGUCAGCGUUCAGGACCCCCAGAGAAGGCUAUUCUUAUUUUCCAAGCCAUUGUUCAUGGACUGGCCUGUCAUAAGACAUGAAGCUUCAUUGCAAACAUCUCCACUCCUCACCUCCUCAUGUGCUCAGCAACCUUCUCAGUGGAGUAACUGUAAAGUCCAUUCUCAUAAAAACCCCAAGGAUGUAAACCCCGCAGGAUUGAGUUUAUUAAAGUAAAACCCGAAACAAAAUCCCUA